This 465-nucleotide ribosomal RNA is filed under the name Parvimonas micra. Its description in RNAcentral is "bacterial SSU rRNA". It matches the Rfam family "Bacterial small subunit ribosomal RNA", at positions 28 to 494 of the family's 1533-position model. Lineage: Bacteria; Bacillati; Bacillota; Tissierellia; Tissierellales; Peptoniphilaceae. The record is from RNAcentral.
GACGAACGCUGGCGGCGUGCUUAACACAUGCAAGUCGAACGUGAUUUUUGUGGAAAUCCUUUCGGGAAUGGAAAUGAAAUGAAAGUGGCGAACGGGUGAGUAACACGUGAGCAACCUACCUUACACAGGGGGAUAGCCGUUGGAAACGACGAUUAAUACCGCAUGAGACCACAGAAUCGCAUGAUAUAGGGGUCAAAGAUUUAUCGGUGUAAGAAGGGCUCGCGUCUGAUUAGCUAGUUGGAAGGGUAAAGGCCUACCAAGGCGACGAUCAGUAGCCGGUCUGAGAGGAUGAACGGCCACAUUGGAACUGAGACACGGUCCAAACUCCUACGGGAGGCAGCAGUGGGGAAUAUUGCACAAUGGGGGGAACCCUGAUGCAGCGACGCCGCGUGAGCGAAGAAGGUUUUCGAAUCGUAAAGCUCUGUCCUAUGAGAAGAUAAUGACGGUAUCAUAGGAGGAAGCCCC